RNA transcript from Tupaia belangeri chinensis (Chinese tree shrew), 2083 nucleotides. RefSeq lists it as uncharacterized. The transcript is spliced from 3 exons. The record is from RefSeq and is a predicted model, not a curated record. Lineage: Eukaryota; Metazoa; Chordata; Mammalia; Scandentia; Tupaiidae.
UAGCAGCGGCACGGGUCAGAAUCCCGGCUCCAGCGACUCCCAGACCCAGCGGCUGGGACUUCUAGGACCCCACCCCGGUGCGAGACCCCAGGCCCGCGCCUUGGAAAGCGGCGCCUGACGAGGUGCAAGCUGGGAGGAAAGGCGGCGCGACUAAGUCCCAUAAAGCUCCCGAAGAUCCGAUUAGCACGCGGCUAUUCAUUAGGCCGGGGGCGAUUGAAUUAGUUCCUGCGUGCAGGCCCCGCGGGGGAGGCCGGCGCGGACUGGCCGCCCCGCGGGCGCGGGCAGGGCAACACGGACCACCGCGCGGGUGCCUGGCCUGGGCGGACUGUAGGCAGCAUUGGCCCCGGCGCGUGUCCAGCCCCGCGAGCUGCAUGCGGAGGCUGCCAGCUGCCCACGCACAUGAGGACUGCCGACCCGAAACCCGCCCGGCUCCGGAGAAACCGCGCCCGGGAAGAAGAGAGCAGACGGGCGACUGAGCGUCCAGCCCCAGGACCUCACGCUGGGAUUCUUGGCCGGGCACCUGCCCGGAGCCCUCCGAAGUUGUUACCAGCAAGUAGCUGCAGACGGCCCGUUGUGUGCCGCAGAGGUUGGCAGCUGCCCAGCGUGCCUGGCCCCGCAGCCACUUCCCAAGUACCAAAGUCAGGAGGCUGCCCAGCCUGCGUCCCUGCUUUGCGAAGGUGCCUGUUAAACACAGACUCGCAAUCUGUUGCUAAAUAUAACCCAGCGUUCACCUGGAAGGUGUAAUUCAGGGUGCUUGUACACGGUUACCAACUGGCAGACUUUGGGUUACAAAAGCGCGAUCUUCCGAGGACAGCAUGGCUGCCCUGCUCUCCCUGCCCCUGCCGGCGAUGGUGCGCGUAAUACUAACUACUCAAGGGGGCUGAAGAAGGUGGGGCGACGCCUGGGACCCCCAGGCCGGGGAGGGUGCCUCCAGUCCCCAUUCCACUCACAUUGCCCUGUCCCCUUGUCUGAGGCCCGAGAAAGGCCCACGUCCUCAGAGGACACCACUGGUACAGUGGGGGGCCCCUCCGCAGGCCGUUGGUCCUGCUGAGUCUGGGGUGGGCUUGGAGGGGAGGUUUUCUGGGAAUUUACACUCAGCCUCAAGCCCAGAGGGGUGCAGGGGUGCACUCUGGGUUUCUGGAAUGGGAGGAACCCAUUUUCUUUGCAGGAGCUGACCCAAACCAGCCCUCAGUCUUCCUGCCUUAAGGAAGGACCCUGUGCUGAUGGGAGCCAGGCUCUGCCAGGAAAGCCCGGACCAGCAGGAGAAGGGAGGGCCCCCGUAAGUACAGUUUCUGGGGUCCUUCCAGCCAACUCCAAGCAGAGCCUGGCUCAGGCCCUCCCUUCAGGGACCCCCGCCCACACUCCCACAGGGGCCUGGCUGUGGAGGAAGUGCCAAGUAAGCAGAGUGACUGCAGGCUGCCUCAGCUCCCUGUGUCUGGAUGUUUACAAGGUGCCGGUUGCACCUGGACAGGGGUCCUCAGGGCUGGGCUUCCCUGAAGAGUCCAGCCUCGGCAUCAGCGUCUCUGAUCAAGCCUGCAAGCCCAGGAGCAGAACCCACAGGAUGGGGGACCCAGAUUCCGGCUCUGCUGGACUGCCCCUCCCUGCACGCCCUUGCCCCUGCAGGACCCGGCACAGGAGGCGGCCCAGCCUGCCGGCCACACACUGGGCACGCCUGUCCUGCUGUCUCCUGGAGCCCCAAGACAGCACUCUACUGUUCUCCAGUCCAACCACUGACCCUGUAGUCUCAGAUGGGCAAGGGUGUCCCCCCCAAGGACUGCUGGGAAGGCAGAAGACAGAAGCCUCCUUCCUCCCCUUCCGGAGGGGUGAUUCCUUGGCCUGGUUAUCGUCAGCCUGUAUAGACGGAAAGUGAGUCAUUACCACUAAAAUUCCCACAGAACAGCCAGGGUCUGCAAAGCCCACACCCGGUCUGGAGUGCAGCAGCAGGUUGUCUGGAGGUGUGGCCACCACCUGGUUUCUGCUUGCCUGGCCUGGAGUGUGGCCACCGGUCCAUCAUUAAAUUAAAAAUAAUUCACUAGAUCCAUUUAUGUAUUAUUAUUAUCUUAAGCUGCACAAAUACAUAUUC